GUGAAUCACCCCUUCAUUGUGAAGCUUCAUUAUGCCUUUCAGACAGAAGGAAAGCUCUACCUGAUCCUGGACUUCCUGCGGGGAGGGGACCUCUUCACCCGGCUCUCCAAAGAGGUCAUGUUCACCGAGGAGGAUGUCAAGUUCUACCUGGCUGAGCUGGCCUUGGCUUUAGAUCAUCUCCACAGCCUGGGGAUCAUCUACAGAGAUCUGAAGCCCGAGAACAUCCUCCUGGAUGAAGAGGGACAUAUUAAGAUCACAGAUUUCGGCCUGAGUAAGGAGGCCAUUGACCACGACAAGAGAGCGUACUCCUUCUGCGGGACGAUCGAGUACAUGGCGCCCGAGGUGGUGAACCGGCGAGGACACACGCAGAGUGCCGACUGGUGGUCCUUCGGCGUGCUCAUGUUCGAGAUGCUCACGGGGUCCCUGCCGUUCCAGGGGAAGGACAGGAAGGAGACCAUGGCUCUCAUCCUCAAAGCCAAGCUGGGGAUGCCGCAGUUCCUCAGUGGGGAGGCACAGAGUUUGCUGCGAGCUCUCUUCAAACGGAACCCUUGCAACCGGCUGGGUGAGAAAACGGCCCUCUUCCCCCAUGUGAGUUGCUCAAGGCUCCUUGGCUUUUGAGUCUAAGACUAGCGUUUCUCCCACCUCCACAUCCCCUGAAGAUAAAAUGUCUUCAUUC
This 676-nucleotide small RNA is filed under the name Pongo abelii (Sumatran orangutan). RNAcentral describes it as "processed transcript". Lineage: Eukaryota; Metazoa; Chordata; Mammalia; Primates; Hominidae. The record is from RNAcentral.